This 63-nucleotide transfer RNA is filed under the name Ctenochauliodes nigrovenosus. RNAcentral's name for it is "tRNA-Ile". The record is from RNAcentral. Lineage: Eukaryota; Metazoa; Arthropoda; Insecta; Megaloptera; Corydalidae.
AGUGAAGUGCCUGAAAAAAGGAUUACCUUGAUAGGGUAAAUAAUGUAUAAAUUACCUUCAUUA